This 468-nucleotide ribosomal RNA is filed under the name uncultured bacterium. RNAcentral describes it as "partial 16S ribosomal RNA". It matches the Rfam family "Bacterial small subunit ribosomal RNA", at positions 29 to 507 of the family's 1533-position model. The record is from RNAcentral.
AACGAACGCUGGCGGCGGGCUUAACACAUGCAAGUCGAACGGAAAGGCCCUGCUUUUGUGGGGUUCUCGAGGGGCGAACGGGUGAGAAACACGUGAGUAACCUGGCCUUGACUUUGGGAUAACUUCAGGAAAGUGGUGCUAAUACCGGAUAGGAGCUCCUGCUGGAGGGUGGUGGUUGGAAAGUUUCGGCGGAGGUGAAUGGAGGCGGGGCUUAACAGCUUGUUGGGGGGGGAGUGGCUUACCAAGGCAUUGACAGGUAGCCGGCCUGAGAGGGUGACCGGCCACCCUGGGACUGACAUAAGGCACCAGCUCCGACGAGAGGAAGAAGUGGGGAAGACUGCACCAUGGGCGGGAGCCUGAUGAAGAAACGCCGCGGGCUGGAUGACACUUUACGGGUGGUAAAACGCCAUUGCCUGUGACGAAGCGUGAGUGAAGGUAAUGGGCAAAGAAGCACCGGCUAACUACGUG